Molecule: ribosomal RNA, 497 nt
Filed under: uncultured bacterium
Lineage: Bacteria
Description: partial 16S ribosomal RNA
Rfam family: Bacterial small subunit ribosomal RNA
Source: RNAcentral
GAUGAACGCUAGCGGCAGGCCUAAUACAUGCAAGUCGGACGGGAUCGGGGAGCUUGCUCCCCGUGAGAGUGGCGCACGGGUGCGUAACACGUAUGUAACCUACCUUUAUCAGGGGGAUAGCCUCUCGAAAGAGAGAUUAACACCGCAUAACAUCACAUGAUAGCAUUAUCGAGUGAUCAAAUAUUCAUAGGAUAAAGAUGGGCAUGCGGGACAUUAGCUAGUUGGCGGGAUAACGGCCCACCAAGGCGACGAUGUCUAGGGGAUCUGAGAGGAUGACCCCCCACACUGGUACUGAGGCACGGACCAGACUCCUACGGGAGGCAGCAGUAAGGAAUAUUGGUCAAUGGACGCAAGUCUGAACCAGCCAUGCCGCGUGCAGGAGGACGGCCCUACGGGUUGUAAACUGCUUUUGUACCGGAAUAAACCCUUUACGUGUAAGAGGCUGAAUGUACGGUAAGAAUAAGGAUCGGCUAACUCCGUGCCAGCAGCCGCGGUAA